Tympanuchus pallidicinctus (lesser prairie-chicken) is the source of this 1286-nucleotide long non-coding RNA. RefSeq lists it as uncharacterized. The transcript has 2 exons. Lineage: Eukaryota; Metazoa; Chordata; Aves; Galliformes; Phasianidae. The record is from RefSeq and is a predicted model, not a curated record.
AGCUGACCACCAGUGGAGAAGGAUGUCUUCUGGAGAUUCAUUCUGCUGGAGUUUCAUAAGCAAGUCCAGGAUAUGGUUAUUACUGCAUAAAAGCUGAAUCGCUUCUAUGAACUUCAGUGUUGCCUUCUACCGAGGACAGUGUUGUAUCACCAAUCUGCAGCACCAGCAAAUGGGAGAAUUUCACCACUUCCCGGGCUGAAAACACAUACGAUAACAAAGCAGUCCAAAAGAUACCACAAUAUCUGAAGAGAAAAAUCUAGUUGCUGGGCUAGCAACAUGCAGUCUGUGAAUGGCACAGCCACGUGUGUGCACUAUGAGAUGCGACUUGGGAACACAGUAACAACUCUGUCAAAAAGGAAACAUGAAUGGCAAAGCGGCUUUUUGCAACACUCCACUGGAGCUUUGGCAACACUGCGAGAGAUGGAGGUGAGGCUAAAUAAGUGAGCCUGCGGGUCAUUCACCCUUAUACAGAAAGAGCAAAGGGACCGUGAACUGCCGCUGAGGUUAGCAGCACCAUUAGGAAGGGCUGUGCGAGGCGCGUGCCCCCGACCUCCCAAGUGGCAGCGCUGAGGGAUGCAGAGCAGCGGCUCGCUUGCUCUCGCCUCAGAACGUUUGGCAAAGGCAGGGAGCGAAACGCAACCGCAGCUUCAUAUCAGCCCUACAGCUGCUUCAUGGAGGUCGGUCCUCCAGCACAAGGCAGAGCAGCAGGAAGAUACCAAAUGCCAACAGCCCAGGGCUAUGGCAGCUUGUCUACGAGUGCAGAAAUUACCCAGGUACUCUUCCAGUCUUCCCAUCCUCACAAGUGCCUCCAAAUGCAGAGCCAUUAGCCUAAAAGCUUUCCACUACCUAAUAAAUAUUUCAAUUGUUUAUCUACGCUAAUCUAUUUUAAGGGUUCAUAUUAACUAACCUAUAUUUUGGCACUAGAGCAAAGCAAAAAGCUUUCAGAAAUUGCCUGUGAACAGUGUUGGUGAAAAAUAAAUUUGCCAAUGGCUUUGGCAAUACAAUGCCAAAUGAGAGAUUAGGCUAAAUAGGGGAGGCAUAAGUGAAAGAUGAACUGAGAUGGGCAAGGAGAGAACCACAGUAGGACUGUUCAUUCGGUGCUCAUCACCUUAACGUGGGAAAAACAAACAAGGAUUCACAGGGCAGGCACCCAAAGACCCCGAGAGACCUAAAACACAGAGAAGAUGGAAAAGCUUUACAUAAGAUCUACAAAUAUUUGAAGGGUGUGAAGACAGGAAUUUUGCGGGUUCAAAUAAAGAGAAAAAUCUAAACAGCAGGAAUAAAUU